Molecule: long non-coding RNA, 1030 nt
Filed under: Zea mays
Lineage: Eukaryota; Viridiplantae; Streptophyta; Magnoliopsida; Poales; Poaceae
Description: long non-coding RNA (ZMAY_LNC004001)
Source: RNAcentral
UGGGAGUGGCGACUGGGGCCUGGGGCGCUGGACGCUGGGCGCAGACGCAGGGGCAGGGCGAUGGCGGCUGGCGGGUCACGGGUGGCGGCCUGGCGGGGUGGGUGGCCGAGAAGGGAACUUAGGUUAGGGAGUGAGAGUUAGCCCUUAGCCGGUUCACUGAUUUGGGCUUCUUUUCUUUGCUUCAUGGGCCAAAAACUGAAAAACACAACAUGUGAAAUUAUGAAUUAGUAUUUCGGGUAUCCAGUGGAUAUCCAUGGGUAAAAUAUACUAUCCAUACGCUACCCGACAUAUUUCGGGUACCCGACCCGAUAGGAUCCACGAGUGAGAUUUCAAACCCGUACCCAUAUCCACCGGGUACGAAACUCGUGGGUAUCCAUAUCCACGGGUCAAAUUCCCAUCCCUAGCUGGGCAACUCCCUCUGCCCUGUGGCCCUAGCCGUCAUCUCACUCACGUUUCGCCGUGUGGACCCCAGUGGUCAGGCCGACGCUUCCUUCUUCCUCGGAUCGUGGGACGCCGACUUCCGCGCGCCAUACCAACCGCGCGAGAACCGCGGGCUCUGGAGGAUCCACGACUUCCCCUCACGAUUCAUCCGCUCGGGAGAUAAAUACUCUCUCGGAGACUCGAAAAGCUACACGCACCUGUCUCUCUGCCAUCACCAGGACCUGUGAGCGAGUGAAGCCCUGCCGUCGCCACUAUCCUUCGCCGGCGACGUGGCUAGACUUCCGUGGUGAAACCCGAGUGCCUAUUGGGUGCAGAAAGGCUUCAGCUCCACCGAUUUGGCGAAUCUUGCCUCGGGGUUCCUCGUCGUAGUUACUCCUCCGUCGCGGAAGUCGCUGUACAGCGUGGCCAGUCGUCGCCCCAGCCCUUGGGUAUGAUCCUCAACCACCUUCGUCGCGUUUGUAGGAGUGUGUAGCACCUGUCCGUUGACCGUUGUGAUUCGGGGCACCGUAGCGCCGGGCGAGAGCUCGUCGGGCUCCUCCGCCAUGGCAACGCGGCGCCGCCGCCGUAGGGGGGGCGGCGUGCGGGGAAG